RNAcentral lists this ribosomal RNA (440 nucleotides) under uncultured bacterium. RNAcentral describes it as "partial 16S ribosomal RNA". It matches the Rfam family "Bacterial small subunit ribosomal RNA", at positions 338 to 795 of the family's 1533-position model. The record is from RNAcentral.
CCUACGGGAGGCAGCAGUAGGGAAUUUUCGUCAAUGGGCGCAAGCCUGAACGAGCGAUGCCGCGUGGAUGAUGAAGGUUUUCGGAGUGUAAACUCCUUUUGUUAGAGAAGAUAAUGACGGUAUCUAACGAAUAAGCACCGGCUAACUCCGUGCCAGCAGCCGCGGUAAUACGGAGGGUGCAAGCGUUACUCGGAAUCACUGGGCGUAAAGAGCGCGUAGGCGGGAUAGCAAGUCAGAUGUGAAAUCCUAUGGCUCAACCAUAGAACUGCAUUUGAAACUGUUAGUCUAGAGUAUGGGAGAGGUAGGUGGAAUUCUUGGUGUAGGGGUAAAAUGCGUAGAGAUCAAGAGGAAGACUCAUGGCGAAGGCGACCUGCUAGAACAUAACUGACGCUGAUGCGCGAAAGCGUGGGGAGCAAACAGGAUUAGAUACCCCAGUAGUC